RNAcentral lists this ribosomal RNA (401 nucleotides) under uncultured bacterium. Its description in RNAcentral is "bacterial SSU rRNA". It matches the Rfam family "Bacterial small subunit ribosomal RNA", at positions 8 to 402 of the family's 1533-position model. The record is from RNAcentral.
AGAGUUUGAUCAUGGCUCAGAGUGAACGCUGGCGGCGUGCUUAACACAUGCAAGUCGAACGAGAACGGGUUAUAGCUUGCUAUAACUGUCAGCUAAGUGGCGGACGGGUGAGUAAUGUAUAGUUAAUCUGCCCCCUAGAGAGGGAUAACUACUGGAAACGGUAGCUAAUACCUCAUACUCCUUUUCUCUUAAUGAGAAUCGGGAAAUGUCUUUUCGCUAGGGGAUGAGACUAUAUGGUAUCAGGUAGUUGGUGGGGUAAGAGCCUACCAAGCCUAUGACACCUAGCUGGUCUGAGAGGAUGAUCGGCCACACUGGAACUGAGACACGGUCCAGACUCCUACGGGAGGCAGCAGUGGGGAAUAUUGCACAAUGGAGGAAACUCUGAUGCAGCAACGCCGCGU